ACAAGUACCGUGAGGGAAAGUUGAAAAGUACUUUGAAGAGAGAGUAAACAGUGCGUGAAACCGCUCAGAGGUAAACGGGUGGAGUUGAACUGCAAUCUCUGUGGAUUCAGCUGGUGAGUAUGGUUUGGGCUUGGCCAAAUGGGUUGAGCUGCGGGGUCUGCUUAUUCGCAGGUCUUUGUCUUCGGGCAGGGAUGCACGAUGCACCUACCAUGUGCUGUGCGCCUCGUGGUUUCGAAUCUGCUCGCUAGUGCACUUUCGCAGGGUGUUCACCACGACCGGCAUUGCUGUCUGGCUAUUGUGGUUAAACCGGUCUUGCAUUGUCCUUGUGGCUUUGCUUGGUCGGGACGGCAGGUAGCUCGUUGGUUGUUCGUAGCUUGCUGCGUUCGGCCUCGGGUGUAAUCAGCUGACUUCAAUGGUUCUGUGCAGUAUGUCGGGGACGGCGGCUUGUUGUGUGUGCGUGCGUGCCGGUCUCAUGGGCGUGCUCGGGUAUGACUGUCAUGUUGCUUGCGUAAGCAGGCCUGGUGGUUGCUCGGGUUUGUUCUGUGGGUGGUUGCGUGCGUGGCACUAUACAGGGCCAAUAGUCUGUGGUGUAGUGGUAGACGAUCCACCCGACCCGUCUUGAAACACGGACCAAGGAGAGUAACAUGUGCGCGAGUCAUUGGGCGAAACGAAACCCAAAGGCGCAGUGAAAGUAAAGGCUUGGCUUUGUCCUUGCUGAGGUGAGAUCCUGUCGUUUCUCAUGCGUGGUACUACCAAGCAUCGAGCGGUGGGCGCAUCACCGGCCCGUCUCAUGACGUAGACACAUAGUCUUCGGACCAGUGCACCGUCGGGGCGGAGCAUGAGCGUACAUGUUGAGACCCGAAAGAUGGUGAACUAUGCUUGCGCAGGUUGAAGCCAGAGGAAACUCUGGUGGAGGACCGCAGCGAUUCUGACGUGCAAAUCGAUCGUCAAACGUGAGUAUAGGGGCGAAAGACUA
Molecule: ribosomal RNA, 976 nt
Filed under: Saccocoelioides lamothei
Lineage: Eukaryota; Metazoa; Platyhelminthes; Trematoda; Plagiorchiida; Haploporidae
Description: eukaryotic LSU rRNA
Rfam family: Eukaryotic large subunit ribosomal RNA
Source: RNAcentral